Ictidomys tridecemlineatus (thirteen-lined ground squirrel) is the source of this 72-nucleotide non-coding RNA. Lineage: Eukaryota; Metazoa; Chordata; Mammalia; Rodentia; Sciuridae. The record is from Rfam.
GGGGAUAUAACUCAGUUGGUAGAGUGUUUGCCUCACAUGUACAAUGCCCUGGAUUCAAUCCCAGCACUACCA